Molecule: unclassified non-coding RNA, 318 nt
Filed under: Zea mays
Lineage: Eukaryota; Viridiplantae; Streptophyta; Magnoliopsida; Poales; Poaceae
Description: misc RNA Zm00001eb343990
Source: RNAcentral
CCGACUGCGAUGUGGCCUCCUGCGCCCAGGCACCACCGACGUUGGGCGACCCAUCGUGGAGCACGACGUCGAAGGCGGAGACGCCAUUGGAGUCCAUGAGCCUCCGCACCGCGGCGCGGCACUUGGUGGUGGUGAUGUCCUCGGUGAGCGAGUGGGCCCCGCGAAUGGGGCGGAUGGGAACGAGGUCGACGCCGACGACGAAGGCUCCGACUGGGGCAUGGUUGACGGCCACCUGAACCCACCCUCCCGGCGCGGCGCAGAGGUCGAGCACCGAGUGCGCCGUCAGGAGGAAGCGGAACCGCGCGUCGAGCUGGAGCA